This 478-nucleotide ribosomal RNA is filed under the name uncultured bacterium. RNAcentral's name for it is "partial 16S ribosomal RNA". It matches the Rfam family "Bacterial small subunit ribosomal RNA", at positions 28 to 507 of the family's 1533-position model. The record is from RNAcentral.
GAUGAACGCUGGCGGCGUGCUUAACACAUGCAAGUCGAACGGGAAACCUUUUAUUGAAGCUUCGGCAGAUUUAGCUGGUUUCUAGUGGCGGACGGGUGAGUAACGCGUGGGUAACCUGCCUUAUACAGGGGGAUAACAGUCAGAAAUGGCUGCUAAUACCGCAUAAGCGCACAGAGCUGCAUGGCUCAGUGUGAAAAACUCCGGUGGUAUAAGAUGGACCCGCGUUGGAUUAGCUGGUUGGUGGGGUAACGGCCCACCAAGGCGACGAUCCAUAGCCGGCACGAGAGGGUGAACGGCCACAUUGGGACUGAGACACGGCCCAGACUCCUACGGGAGGCAGCAGUGGGGAAUAUUGCACAAUGGGGGAAACCCUGAUGCAGCGACGCCGCGUGAAGGAAGAAGUAUCUCGGUAUGUAAACUUCUAUCAGCAGGGAAGAUAAUGACGGUACCUGACUAAGAAGCCCCGGCUAACUACGUG